RNAcentral lists this ribosomal RNA (403 nucleotides) under uncultured bacterium. Its description in RNAcentral is "partial 16S ribosomal RNA". It matches the Rfam family "Bacterial small subunit ribosomal RNA", at positions 30 to 526 of the family's 1533-position model. The record is from RNAcentral.
AUUGAACGCUGGCGGCAGGCCUAACACAUGCAAGUCGAGCGAGCGGCGGACGGGUGCGUAAUGUAUGGGGACUGCCCGAUAGAGGGGGCUUACUACAGGAAACGGUAGCUCAUACCGCAUACUAUCGGAUAACCCAUAUGGGUUUAGCUAGUAGGUGGGGUAAUGGCUCACCUAGGCGACGAUCCCUAGCUGGUCUGCGAGGAUGAUCAGCCACACUGGGACGGAGAAACGGCCCAGACUCCUACGGAGGCAGCAGUGGGGAAUAUGGGAAAAUGGGCGCAAGCCUGAUGCAGCCAUGCCGCGGGUAGGAAGAAGGCCCUAGGGUUGUAAAGUACUUUCAGUCGGGAGGCGUUACCGACAGAAGAAGCACCGGCUAACUCCGUGCCAGCAGCCGCGGUAAUAC